RNAcentral lists this ribosomal RNA (489 nucleotides) under uncultured bacterium. RNAcentral's name for it is "partial 16S ribosomal RNA". It matches the Rfam family "Bacterial small subunit ribosomal RNA", at positions 30 to 507 of the family's 1533-position model. The record is from RNAcentral.
UUGAACGCUGGCGGCAGGCCUAACACCUGCAAGUCGAACGGUAACAGGAAGCAGCUUGCUGCUUUGCUGACGAGUGGCGGACGGGUGAGUAAUGUCUGGGAAACUGCCUGAUGGAGGGGGAUAACUACUGGAAACGGUAGCUAAUACCGCAUAACGUCGCAAGACCAAAGAGGGGGACCUUCGGGCCUCUUGCCAUCGGAUGUGCCCAGAUGGGAUUAGCUUGUUGGUGGGGUAACGGCUCACCAAGGCGACGAUCCCUAGCUGGUCUGAGAGGAUGACCAGCCACACUGGAACUGAGACACGGUCCAGACUCCUACGGGAGGCAGCAGUGGGGAAUAUUGCACAAUGGGCGCAAGCCUGAUGCAGCCAUGCCGCGUGUAUGAAGAAGGCCUUCGGGUUGUAAAGUACUUUCAGCGGGGAGGAAGGGAGUAAAGUUAAUACCUUUACUCAUUGACGUUACCCGCAGAAGAAGCACCGGCUAACUCCGUG